This 806-nucleotide ribosomal RNA is filed under the name Brevibacterium aureum. RNAcentral's name for it is "bacterial SSU rRNA". It matches the Rfam family "Bacterial small subunit ribosomal RNA", at positions 31 to 847 of the family's 1533-position model. Lineage: Bacteria; Bacillati; Actinomycetota; Actinomycetes; Micrococcales; Brevibacteriaceae. The record is from RNAcentral.
GCACCUGGCUGGUGCUUAAACAUGCAAGAUCGAACGCUGAAGCCGACAGCUUGCUGUUGGUGGAUGAGUGGCGAACGGGUGAGUAACACGUGAGUAACCUGCCCCUGAUUUCGGGAUAAGCCUGGGAAACUGGGUCUAAUACCGGAUAUGACCAAUCCUUGCAUGAGGGUUGGUGGAAAGUUUUUCGAUCGGGGAUGGGCUCGCGGCCUAUCAGCUUGUUGGUGGGGUAAUGGCCUACCAAGGCGACGACGGGUAGCCGGCCUGAGAGGGCGACCGGCCACACUGGGACUGAGACACGGCCCAGACUCCUACGGGAGGCAGCAGUGGGGAAUAUUGCACAAUGGGGGAAACCCUGAUGCAGCGACGCAGCGUGCGGGAUGACGGCCUUCGGGUUGUAAACCGCUUUCAGCAGGGAAGAAGCGAAAGUGACGGUACCUGCAGAAGAAGUACCGGCUAACUACGUGCCAGCAGCCGCGGUAAUACGUAGGGUACGAGCGUUGUCCGGAAUUAUUGGGCGUAAAGAGCUCGUAGGUGGUUGGUCACGUCUGCUGUGGAAACGCAACGCUUAACGUUGCGCGUGCAGUGGGUACGGGCUGACUAGAGUGCAGUAGGGGAGUCUGGAAUUCCUGGUGUAGCGGUGAAAUGCGCAGAUAUCAGGAGGAACACCGGUGGCGAAGGCGGGACUCUGGGCUGUAACUGACACUGAGGAGCGAAAGCAUGGGGAGCGAACAGGAUUAGAUACCCUGGUAGUCCAUGCCGUAAACGUUGGGCACUAGGUGUGGGGGACAUUCCACGUUCUCCGCGCC